Molecule: unclassified non-coding RNA, 324 nt
Filed under: uncultured Cantharellales
Lineage: Eukaryota; Fungi; Basidiomycota; Agaricomycetes; Cantharellales
Description: sequence contains 5.8S rRNA gene, ITS2, 28S rRNA gene
Source: RNAcentral
AACGCACCUUGCGCUCCUUGGUAUUCCUUGGAGCAUGCCUGUUUGAGUAUCAUGAAAUUCUCAAAGUCAAUCUUUUGUUAAUUCAAUUGAUUUGUGCUUUGGACUUGGAGGUCUUUGCGGAUUAAUAAUCUGCUCCUCUUAAAUUCAUUAGCUGGAUCUCAGUAUAUGCUUGGUUCCACUCGGCGUGAUAAGUUAUCACUCGCUGAGGACACUGUAAAAGGUGGCCAGGAAAUACAGAUGAACCGCUUCUAAUAGUCUAUUAAAUUAGACAAUUAAAUUUUAAGAUCUGAUCUCAAAUCAGGUAGGACUACCCGCUGAACUUAA